This 497-nucleotide ribosomal RNA is filed under the name uncultured bacterium. RNAcentral describes it as "partial 16S ribosomal RNA". It matches the Rfam family "Bacterial small subunit ribosomal RNA", at positions 28 to 507 of the family's 1533-position model. The record is from RNAcentral.
GAUGAACGCUGGCGGCGUGCCUAAUACAUGCAAGUCGAGCGAACAGACGAGGAGCUUGCUCCUCUGACGUUAGCGGCGGACAGGUGAGUAACACGUGGAUAACCUACCUAUAAGACUGGGAUAACUUCGGGAAACCGGAGCUAAUACCGGAUAAUAUAUUGAACCGCAUGGUUCAAUAGUGAAAGACGGUUUUGCUGUCACUUAUAGAUGGAUCCGCGCCGCAUUAGCUAGUUGGUAAGGUAACGGCUUACCAAGGCAACGAUGCGUAGCCGACCUGAGAGGGUGAUCGGCCACACUGGAGCUGAGACACGGUCCAGACUCCUACGGGAGGCAGCAGUAGGGAAUCUUCCGCAAUGGGCGAAAGCCUGACGGAGCAACGCCGCGUGAGUGAUGAAGGUCUUCGGAUCGUAAAACUCUGUUAUUAGGGAAGAACAAAUGUGUAAGUAACUAUGCACGUCUUGACGGUACCUAAUCAGAAAGCCACGGCUAACUACGUG